Molecule: ribosomal RNA, 468 nt
Filed under: uncultured bacterium
Lineage: Bacteria
Description: partial 16S ribosomal RNA
Rfam family: Bacterial small subunit ribosomal RNA
Source: RNAcentral
GACGAACGCUGGCGGCGUGCUUAACACAUGCAAGUCGAACGGAAAGGCCCUGCUUUUGUGGGGUGCUCGAGUGGCGAACGGGUGAGUAACACGUGAGUAACCUGCCCUUGACUUUGGGAUAACUUCAUGAAACUUGGGCUAAUACCGGAUAGGAGCUCCUGCUGCAUGGUGGGGGUUGGAAAGUUUCGGCGGUUGGGGAUGGACUCGCGGCUUAUCAGCUUGUUGGUGGGGUAGUGGCUUACCAAGGCUUUGACGGGUAGCCGGCCUGAGAGGGUGACCGGCAACAUUGGGACUGAGAUACGGCCCAGACUACUACGGGAGGCAGAAGUGGGGAAUAUUGCACAAUGGGCGGAAGCAUGAUGCAGCAAAGCCGCGUGCGGGAUGACGGCAUUCGGGUUGUAAACCGCUGUCGCCUGUGACGAAGCGUGAGUGACGGUAAUGGGUAAAGAAGCACCGGCUAACUACGUG